CCUUAGAACGCAAUCUCAAGCACCAAGAACCGUUCAAUUUGCUCCACCAAACUGUUCAGAAACCUCAAUUCCAAAAACAUACUAAUCUAUAAGAGAUCAACUAAACCAUUCGAAAGCAAUAACAAAAUAAAUCAGUUAAUAAUCCAAAGGACAACACUUACCCGAUACAACACUCAAAGAAUCAAUAAACGACUUGAGAAGCAAUAACCAACAUCAACAAAGUUGAAACCCCAAAGAAAG
This 240-nucleotide long non-coding RNA is filed under the name Gossypium raimondii (Peruvian cotton). Its description in RNAcentral is "long non-coding RNA (GRAI_LNC005419)". The record is from RNAcentral. Lineage: Eukaryota; Viridiplantae; Streptophyta; Magnoliopsida; Malvales; Malvaceae.